UGAAUACGAGACGCUAAGGCGUCGAAGUAGUGUAUGUCAUACUUCCAAGAAAAGCUUGCACUGUCAUAGAUAAAAAACGCCUGUACCAUAACCGACACAGGUGGGUAGGUAGAGUAUACUAAGGGGCGCGAGAUAACUCUCUCUAAGGAACUCGGCAAAAUAACUCCGUAACUUCGGGAGAAGGAGUGCCUUAUUCGUAAGGUUGCAAUAACAAGAUCCAAGCAACUGUUUAUCAAAAACACAGGUCUCCGCUAAGUCGUAAGACGAUGUAUGGGGGCUGACGCCUGCCCAGUGCCAGAAGGUUAAAGAAGUUGGUUAGCAAUUGCGAAGCUGAUAACUGAAGCCCUGGUGAACGGCGGCCGUAACUAUAACGGUCCUAAGGUAGCGAAAUUCCUUGUCGGGUAAGUUCCGACCCGCACGAAAGGCGUAAUGAUUUGGAUACUGUCUCGGAGAGGGGCUCGGUGAAAUAGACUUGUCUGUGAAGAUGCGGACUACCUGCACCAGGACAGAAAGACCCUAUGAAGCUUUACUGUAACUUGAAAUUGAAAUUGGACUUUAUUCGCGCAGUAUAGGUGGGAGGCGUUGAUUAUAAUCUUGUGGGAUUAUUGGAGCCAUCAGUGAGAUACCACUCUUGUAAUGUUAGAUUUCUAACUUUGAAUCAUUAUCUGGUCAAAGAACAGUUUCAGGCGGGCAGUUUGACUGGGGCGGUCGCCUCCUAAACGGUAACGGAGGCGUACAAAGGUUUCCUCUGAACGGUUAGAAAUCGUAUCUAGAGUGUAAAGGCAUAAGGAAGCUUGACUGUGAGACCUACAAGUCGAGCAGGGACGAAAGUCGGUCUUAGUGAUCUGACGGUACUGAGUGGAAAGGCCGUCACUCAACGGAUAAAAGUUACUCUAGGAUAACAGGCUGAUCUCCCCCAAGAGUUCACAUCGACGGGGAGGUUUGGCACCUCGAUGUCGGCUCAUCGCAUCCUGGGGCGGUAGUACGUCCCAAGGGUUGGGCUGUUCGCCCAUGAAAGCGGUACGCGAGCUGGGUUCAGAACGUCGUGAGACAGUUCGGUCCAUAUCCGGUGUAGGCGUUAGAAUAUUGAGAGGAGCCUUCUUUAGUACGAGAGGACCGAGAAGGACAUACCUCUGGUGUACCAGUUAUCGUGCCAACGGUAAACGCUGGGUAGCUAUGUAUGGAGUGGAUAACCGCUGAAAGCAUCUAAGUGGGAAGCCCACCUCAAGAUAAGUAUUC
Molecule: ribosomal RNA, 1239 nt
Filed under: metagenome
Description: bacterial LSU rRNA
Rfam family: Bacterial large subunit ribosomal RNA
Source: RNAcentral